CUAAGAAUAUUCCGCAAUGGACGGAAGUCUGACGGAGCGACGCCGCGAGGAUGACGAAGGCCGAAAGGUUGUAAAGUUCUUUUGCUGGGGAAGAAUAACCGCAGGAGGGAAUGCCUGUGGGAUGACAAGAACCGGCGAAUAAGCCCCGGCCAACUACGUGCCAGCAGCCGCGGUAACACGUAGGGGGCGAGCGUUGUUCGGAAUUACUGGGCGUAAAGGGCAUGUAGGCGGCUUGGAAAGCCUGGCGUGAAAGUCUGCAGCUUAACCGCAGGGGGGCUCUGGGAAGUGCUGAGCUGGAGUGACGGAGAGGGAGCUUGAAUUCCUGGUGUAGGGGUGAAAUCUGUAGAUAUCAGGAAGAACACCGAUGGCGAAUGCAAGCUCCUGGCCGAUGACUGACGCUGAGGUGCGAAAGUGUGGGGAUCAAACA
Molecule: ribosomal RNA, 427 nt
Filed under: uncultured bacterium
Lineage: Bacteria
Description: bacterial SSU rRNA
Rfam family: Bacterial small subunit ribosomal RNA
Source: RNAcentral